Molecule: unclassified non-coding RNA, 2131 nt
Filed under: Leishmania donovani
Lineage: Eukaryota; Euglenozoa; Kinetoplastea; Trypanosomatida; Trypanosomatidae
Description: gene:LdHU3.22.2130(CDS-product:CCR4_associated_fa ctor_putative)
Source: RNAcentral
AGACUUGCACACGACGCGAGUUUUGUUCUUCUCUUUUUGCCAGCUGCUCUUUUGCACUUCCGCUGGUGUCUCGAGAUCAUCGCCUCGCCCUGCUCAUCCAUCCCUUCCCGUUCUUUCUCUCUUCCGCCCACCGAGCUCGAUCUUGCGCCCCGCUACCCUGCAUCAAACUUAAGGCCCUUUUUGAUCUCGCUGGCGUAUUGGGUAUUCGCGCCGCCUCGUGUCUGUGCUUCGAGGGGGUCUGCAUUAGCGACGACGACUGCAGCUGACGAAGGAGUCCAGCAAAGGGAGCAGCGGCGCAGAGAAACGCAAGCGAGAGUGAUGACGUCCAAGCACACCCCUCAGCCGUACACAAUGACAGCGAACACGCCGGCAUGGAACCCGGAGACGCGGCUUCCGUCCCUUAGCAAGUCCGCAAUGAUCCGCGACGUUUGGGCUGACAAUCUCGAGGAGGAGUUCGCCACGAUCCGGUCUCUCAUCAAGGACUACCCGUUCGUGUCGCUAGACACGGAAUUCCCUGGAGUGGUGGCCAAGCCGGUGGGCAGCUUCAAGACGACGCACGAGUUCUACUACCAAACGCUGCGGUGCAACGUGAACCUCCUCAAGAUCAUUCAGCUCGGCAUCACCCUUCUGAACGACAAGGGCGAGGUCCCGGAGCACUGCUCCACCUGGCAGUUCAACUUCCGCUUCAGCAUCAAGGAAGACGUUUACGCGCAAGACAGCAUUGAGCUUCUCCGGCAUGGCGGCAUCAACUUCGACUACUUCAACGACUUCGGGAUCGAGGUGACGCACUUUGCGGAACUGCUCAUCUCCAGCGGGCUGGUGCUCAACUCCAACGUGCGCUGGCUUGCCUUCCACGCUGGCUACGACUUCGGGUACCUCAUCAAGGUGGUGUGCAACAAGGAUCUUCCGGAGAAGGAGGAGGAGUUCCUGCAAACCCUUCAUGCUCUCUUCCCGAGCAUGUUUGACCUCAAGUAUCUUUUGCGCUUCACGGAUGUGUCCCACUCCUUUGGACUGGACUACUUAGCGGAGAGCCUGAAGCUGCGCCGCUUCGGCACGGCGCAUCAGGCCGGCAGCGAUUCGCUCCUCACGGGCCACUGCUACUUCAAGUUGCUGCGUGAUAGCUUUGGCAACACCGCACCGGUGGCCAACAACGGCGUUCUCUACGGUCUUAGCGAGGAUGCAGCUUCGUCCGUCACUCCUAGCAGCGCGCAGGCGGUGACGCAGGUGAAUAGCAACUCGCACAACUUCUCAAGCCCCAUUGCGUACGGCAAUGGCGGCGCAAGCAGCGGUACCUUCCCUGCGGCCCCCCUCAACUCUAACAUGCGCAGGUCGUGAGCAGUUGUGAGGGGGCUCCGCAGCGUUUUUCUUUUCUCUAAUCAUGUAAAGGCUCCAUCGUGUGCAUCGGGCAUCCUUAUACCUUUGCACUUGUGUACGCGUAGGCGCAUGUGUGGUGCGAGAGGGGGAUGGUGUGUGCGUGUGGCUGAGUGGGGGCUACGCUCGUGGCGUACAAGCCUGCAAGGUAUGUGUGCGUGUGUAUGUGUGCCGCUCUGCGCGCGCCUUCUCCUCUUUCUCCUUUCUGCUGCUUUGCUCCUUUUUCCUUUGGCCACUCGUGCAGAACUCGGCGGCGGCGCUCUGGCUUCACCUGUGGCCCUUCUCUCCCUCUGCACCGGGCCGGGAGGGACCGGGGAGAGGGAGAGGAGGGGGAAGAGCGCGCGUGCGCGUGCGAGGCGACGCGUUCGUGUUCGUUUUCUUUUUUUAUUUUCUGUACUUUCUCAGGAGGAUGGCCGUUGUAUGAAGUGCGCUCGCUUCGCCGCUUUUUUCUUUUGCUUUUCCGUCUUGCUGUUUGUCUGUCUGUCUCUCUCUGUAUGUGUGUCGCAGGGCAGUGGGGAGAGGGGCGGGCGUGCACGACUGUCGCUCCUGGUGCGCUCUGUUUGUUGUCUGUUUGAAUCUCUUGCAUGAAGUCCACCUUCUUCCGUUUUGUGGUCUUCAUCACCUCGUGCAUCUGCCUCUGCCUGAGGGGUGGGCCUGUGUGUGUGUGUGUGUGCGUGUGGGCGUUUUCUCCUUGUCACGGUACCCUUUUUCAUGUGCGUGCGUUUUUUUUCCCUUUUGUCAGUGCUCUAAAACAGAGAAG